This 170-nucleotide non-coding RNA is filed under the name Blautia producta. The record is from RNAcentral. Lineage: Bacteria; Bacillati; Bacillota; Clostridia; Lachnospirales; Lachnospiraceae.
UAUAACGGUUGCUGUAAUCUUUACAGCAAUAAAAGGGAAAUCGGUGAAAAUCCGGUACAGUCACCCUUACUGUAACGUGGACAAGGAGACGAUAUACCAUUGAACAGCAAUUGUUUGAGAAGGUGUUUCCAAGGAAAAAGCGAAGUCAGGAGACCUGCCGUUAUUUUAAU